AAUCUCCUUCAUAUAUUUGAUUCCCAUCAGCAAGCAAAGGACACUGUAUCUUUUUCUCUUAAAACUAAACACAUAGACCUCUCUCUUGAAACUGAUGCCUUCAACUCAUCACAAAAAAUCCAAAAUCUCACUGCAUCUUUAUUCCUUCACAUAAACAACCGUGACACACUCCAUCUUCCUCUUCUCUUUGCUCUGCCACGCCACCAUCAUCAUCAUGACAUCUCCGCCUCCACUUCACACGAUUUAAACCCAUCAAACCACACUUCAAAAAAC
RNAcentral lists this long non-coding RNA (273 nucleotides) under Lathyrus oleraceus (garden pea). RNAcentral's name for it is "Pisum sativum (pea) long non-coding RNA (PSAT_LNC012111)". Lineage: Eukaryota; Viridiplantae; Streptophyta; Magnoliopsida; Fabales; Fabaceae. The record is from RNAcentral.